This 62-nucleotide transfer RNA is filed under the name Mus musculus (house mouse). It matches the Rfam family "tRNA", at positions 6 to 65 of the family's 71-position model. From Rfam's summary of the family: Transfer RNA (tRNA) molecules are approximately 80 nucleotides in length. Their secondary structure includes four short double-helical elements and three loops (D, anti-codon, and T loops). Lineage: Eukaryota; Metazoa; Chordata; Mammalia; Rodentia; Muridae. RNAcentral also lists the same sequence under 1 other name. The record is from Rfam by way of RNAcentral.
UGUAGCUUAAUUAGUGAAGUACGUGCCUGGCAUGCAUGAAGCUCUGGGUUCGAUACCCUGCA